GUCUUCCUGAAAUUAGAUUCAUAUACAAGAAAACACAGAGACUUAUAUAGCCACCAGAUGGAGAAAGGGAGAGAAAGAAUUUUUUUUUCCUUCAUCUUAAUCACAGAGUAAGGAUGAAGAUCCAUCCAUGUUUGCAACAGAUGGUUUGCAUUGCAAAGAAAUUCCACAAAGAAGGAUUACAUGGCUUUGUAGAUAACACUACCACAGAAUAGGAACAAAUUAUCUCAUAGAUUUAUGCAGAACUCCCACUGCUGGCCACGACAAAGUCACAGAUCCUGCAUUUGCCUUCCAAAAAGCGUCCUCACCCCUAACCAAAGACUGUGAGUCCGCUCUGAUAGAAUGUGAUGGCUCUGGGUGAGGAAUGAAACCUCAAAUCAAGAAAUGCCAUUUAAGAUUAUUCUGUUCUCCCUCGGCCCGACAUAAACUCAGGUGAUACUUCAGGCUCUCUCUGGAGUUUUAUGCUGACCUUGGAUCACCACACGC
Acinonyx jubatus (cheetah) is the source of this 483-nucleotide long non-coding RNA. RefSeq lists it as uncharacterized. NCBI's taxonomy places the organism in Eukaryota, Metazoa, Chordata, Mammalia, Carnivora, Felidae. The transcript has 3 exons. The record is from RefSeq and is a predicted model, not a curated record.